RNAcentral lists this ribosomal RNA (440 nucleotides) under uncultured bacterium. RNAcentral describes it as "partial 16S ribosomal RNA". It matches the Rfam family "Bacterial small subunit ribosomal RNA", at positions 338 to 795 of the family's 1533-position model. The record is from RNAcentral.
CCUACGGGAGGCAGCAGUGGGGAAUAUUGCACAAUGGGGGAAACCCUGAUGCAGCGACACCGCGUGAGUGAAGAAGUAUUUCGGUACGUAAAGCUCUAUCAGCAGGGAAGAAAAUGACGGUACCUGACUAAGAAGCCCCGGCUAACUACGUGCCAGCAGCCGCGGUAAUACGUAGGGGGCAAGCGUUAUCCGGAUUUACUGGGUGUAAAGGGAGCGUAGACGGCAGCGCAAGUCUGGAGUGAAAUCCCAUGGCUUAACCAUGGAACUGCUUUGGAAACUGUGCAGCUAGAGUGCAGGAGAGGUAAGCGGAAUUCCUAGUGUAGCGGUGAAAUGCGUAGAUAUUAGGAGGAACACCAGUGGCGAAGGCGGCUUACUGGACUGUAACUGACGUUGAGGCUCGAAAGCGUGGGGAGCAAACAGGAUUAGAUACCCCGGUAGUC